This 459-nucleotide ribosomal RNA is filed under the name uncultured bacterium. RNAcentral describes it as "partial 16S ribosomal RNA". It matches the Rfam family "Bacterial small subunit ribosomal RNA", at positions 29 to 523 of the family's 1533-position model. The record is from RNAcentral.
AACGAACGCUGGCGGCAGGCCUAACACAUGCAAGUCGAACGAGAAGCCACCUUCGGGUGGUGGACAGUGGCAGACGGGUGAGUAACGCGUGGGAACGUGCCUUUCGGUUCGGGAUAACCCAGGGAAACUUGGGCUAAUACCGGAUACGCCCUCCGGGGGAAAGAUUCAUCGCCGAAAGAUCGGCCCGCGUCGGAUUAGAUAGUUGGUAGGGUAAUGGCCGAUCAAGGCGACGAUCCGUAGCUGGUCUGAGAGGAUGACCAGCCACACUGGGACUGAGACACGGCCCAGACUCCUACGGGAGGCAGCAGUGGGAAAUAUUGGACAAUUGGCGAAAGCCUGAUCCAGCCAUGCCGCGUGGGUGAAGAAGGCCUUAGGGUUGUAAACCCCUUUCAGCGGGGAAGAUAAUGACGGUACCCGCAGAAGAAGUCCCGGCUAACUCCGUGCCAGCAGCCGCCGUAA